AGGUCCGUUACUUUUCGGACAGACCUCAUAUUUCUGUUCUAAGGUUAAACAUUUUAACAUGGACUUCUAUGGGAAAGUGCUCUGUUUUAUUGCCACCCUCAAGCAGCCAGUCAAGGAAAUGCAACUUUUUCUGCUUCCAGUUGAGCUUCAUCUGAGGCCAUCAAGGUUUCUUGACAGAUGUGCAUGCACAGGAGCCUCUUUUUUUUUGGCGAUGAAUUCAGUUUGAAUAUUUGUGACUAAAAUAAAAUACAGACAAAAACAGAAGUAGUCAGAACAUGAAUGUAAAUGAAUUUUUUUGGAGCUACAUUCUUGCACCAAAGCUUUGUCUAUCGUAACGUCUAGUUUGGCUAGUAAUGUUUUCUAAAGACAUGUUGCUAGGUUUUAGUCAGUAUGCGUUUGUCAGUAGACGACACACGGACAUUGGUCACUGUGACUCUGGGUGCUGGUACAUAAGAUGACGGCCUCAACCCUGAACCCAUGUUCACAUUUACACUUGAAAAGUAUUGCUUAACAUUUAACUCCACAAACUGGAGGGUUGUUUUUUUUUUGUUUUUUUGUUUUUUUUGGGGGGGGGG
Long non-coding RNA from Thalassophryne amazonica, 575 nucleotides. RefSeq lists it as uncharacterized. Lineage: Eukaryota; Metazoa; Chordata; Actinopteri; Batrachoidiformes; Batrachoididae. The record is from RefSeq and is a predicted model, not a curated record. The transcript has 2 exons.